CAAUAGCGUAUAUUUAAGUUGUUGCAGUUAAAAAGCUCGUAGUUGGAUUUCGGAUGGGAUCUGCCGGUCCAUCUUUGAGAUGUGUACUGGUAGGUCCUAUCUUGUUGUCGGGGACCAGCUCCUGGGCUUCACUGUCCGGGACUGGGAGCCGACGAAGUUACUUUGAGUAAAUUAGAGUGUUCAAAGCAAGCCUACGCUCUGAAUAUAUUAGCAUGGAAUAACACGAUAAGACUCUGGCUUAUCUUGUUGGUCUGUGAGACCAGAGUAAUGAUUAAGAGGGACAGUCGGGGACAUUCGUAUUUCAUUGUCAGAGGUGAAAUUCUUGGAUUUAUGAAAGACGAACUUCUGCGAAAGCAUUUGUCAAGGAUGUUUUCAUUAA
This 379-nucleotide ribosomal RNA is filed under the name uncultured eukaryote. Its description in RNAcentral is "partial 18S ribosomal RNA". It matches the Rfam family "Eukaryotic small subunit ribosomal RNA", at positions 592 to 976 of the family's 1831-position model. The record is from RNAcentral.